AAUCGAACCGUAUACGAAAUGUAGCGAUAAUCGAAAUCGAACGAGGAACGAAAUGGAACGAUGAACUUUGGGAACAAAAACCAAGGAACGAAAAGAAUGAGCUAGUACACUGAUGAGAAGUGAACGAAAUCGAAUCGAAUGAACUAGUUCACUGCCGAUGACGUGCCUGCAAGCCGGACACAACUAGUAAAGGGCAGUGAAAGAGAAGGAAAGAG
Molecule: long non-coding RNA, 215 nt
Organism: Drosophila sulfurigaster albostrigata
Lineage: Eukaryota; Metazoa; Arthropoda; Insecta; Diptera; Drosophilidae
Exons: 2
Source: RefSeq, a predicted model, not a curated record